CCCCCCCUUUCCCUGUACGACUGACUAGGUAUCCCCCCCUUUCCCUGUACAACUGACUAGGUAUCCCCCCUUUCCCUGUACAACUGACUAGGUAUCCCCCUUUCCCACUGACUAGGUAUCCCCCCCUUUCCCUGUACGACUGACUAGGUAUCCCCCCUUUCCCUGUACGACUGACUAGGUAUCCCCCUUUCCCACUGACUAGGUAUCCCCCCCUUUCCCUGUACGACUGACUAGGUAUCCCCCUUUCCCUGUACAACUGACUAGGUAUCCCCCCCUUUCCCUGUACAACUGACUAGGUAUCCCCCUUUCCCUAUACAACUGACUUGGUAUCCCCCCCUUUCCCUGUACAACUGACUAGGUAUCCCUUUUUCCCACUGACUAGGUAUCCCCCCUUUCCCUGUACAACUGACUAGGUAUCCCUCCUUUCCCUGUACAACUGACUAGGUACCCCCCCUUUCCCUGUACAACUGACUAGGUAUCCCCCUUUCCCUGUACAACUGACUAGGUAUCCCCC
This 514-nucleotide long non-coding RNA is filed under the name Salmo salar (Atlantic salmon). RNAcentral describes it as "lncRNA (ENSSSAG00000102048.1)". Lineage: Eukaryota; Metazoa; Chordata; Actinopteri; Salmoniformes; Salmonidae. The record is from RNAcentral.